RNAcentral lists this transfer RNA (39 nucleotides) under Varanus niloticus (Nile monitor). RNAcentral's name for it is "partial tRNA-Leu". The record is from RNAcentral. Lineage: Eukaryota; Metazoa; Chordata; Lepidosauria; Squamata; Varanidae.
GCUUUUAAAGGAUAAUAGACAUCCACUGGCCUUAGGAGC